AAAGUGUAUCUAGAAAGAA
Molecule: ribosomal RNA, 19 nt
Filed under: Hestina assimilis
Lineage: Eukaryota; Metazoa; Arthropoda; Insecta; Lepidoptera; Nymphalidae
Also listed under: 2 other names
Description: partial 12S ribosomal RNA
Source: RNAcentral